CCCAAACGCAAGCAUCUGUUCCCAAAAACACUUCUUCGUCUCUAGAUAUAAUGGCAGAUGUUAUCCUCUCCAAGACCAUCAAUGUGGUGGUAAUGGCAAUCUUUUUGAUGUUUUUCUUGCUUUUGUCCACUGAGUUGGCCAUUUCUGCCGUGGCCGAGGCAGUUCCAGAGCUUCAACUCGGACGCAAGCUACUCGAAGAUGGCUACAAUACCACCGGACGAAGUGGGUACAACUGAUUAGUUCCUUUGAUGAUAUCAAAUAAAAGAUGAUGAAGACGACUACUACUACUACUAAUAAUAAAUGCCCCGGUUUGUUAUGUUAUGAUGUCUUGUAUGGUCAUUUAUAAGUGGCCUCCCUUUGAUUAAGUAUUGGUCAUGUAUAUGCCCAUGAUAUUGGAAAAAUUACACUACUUUAAUGUCAUAAUUUUCUGAUUAAUGUGAAUUUUUCCUCCUCAA
This is a long non-coding RNA of Eucalyptus grandis, 455 nucleotides long. RefSeq lists it as uncharacterized. The transcript has 2 exons. The record is from RefSeq and is a predicted model, not a curated record. Lineage: Eukaryota; Viridiplantae; Streptophyta; Magnoliopsida; Myrtales; Myrtaceae.